Molecule: unclassified non-coding RNA, 378 nt
Filed under: uncultured Parachlamydiaceae bacterium
Lineage: Bacteria; Pseudomonadati; Chlamydiota; Chlamydiia; Parachlamydiales; Parachlamydiaceae
Description: contains 16S-23S intergenic spacer region
Source: RNAcentral
UCCUGGUUAACCCAGGCAGUCUCAUUAGAGUUCCCACCUUCACGUGUUGGCAACUAAUGAUAAGGGUUGCGCUCGUUGCGGGACUUAACCCAACACCUCACGGCACGAGCUGACGACAGCCAUGCAGCACCUGUGCAGAGGCCCUUUCGGGCUUUACUAUCUCUAGUAAAUCCCUCUGCAUGUCAAGCCUGGGUAAGGUUCUUCGCGUUGCAUCGAAUUAAACCACAUGCUCCACUGCUUGUGCGGGUCCCCGUCAAUUCUUUUGAGUUUCAGCCUUGCGGCUGUACUUCCCAGGCGGUAUACUUAUCGCGUUUGCUUCGGCACAACUAGGGUUGAGUCCAGUUACACCAAGUAUACAUCGUUUACAGCAAGGACUAC